AUGCACACACUCACUCACUCGCACGCACGCACACACAGACCCGCUUCUGCUGGGCGCGCGCGGGGCCGGGGAUGCGAGGGGGAGGAGGGGAGCGCGGCGCGGCCGGCCCCUCCCCGCCGCCGCCGCCGCCGCACGCGCGCCCUGCGCCCGGGACACUCCGGCCCCUUCUUCCUCCCUCCCUCCUCCCCGCCGCCCGCCUUCCUCCCUCCCACCCCCACGCGCCCGCUUUGGCAGCCUGGGCCUCUCUGCCCGCCCCUUUACCUCCUGCGGCUUCGCUCACUCCGGCUCGCUCCGGCCCCCCCUUACAACUCCCGCGCGCUUUUUAAGGAGGCGCCGCGGAGUUGGCGCCGGGGCGGGGGCCGGGGAAAGCGGCGGGCGGGGGAGGGGGAGGGGAGUGCCGGGGGGAGGGGAGAGGGGGCGGGCAGGGCGGGCGGGCGGCGCUCGGCCGCCCUCCAGCCAUUGGGCGCGGGACCCAGACGUCCCCGGCGCCCAGCCCCCCUCUCCACGCCUCCCCGGCGCGCUCCGCUCUCCGGACCGCACUUACCGGGAACUCGCCGCCCGCGGGCCGGGGCUGCCGCGCUCGCAGGGUGCUGCGGGGACCCUCUUGCUGCCGCCGCCCCCGCGUCCCUCAGGCGCGCCUGGCCCGGCGCUAAGGAUGCGGGGAGGGGGGCGCGCACCCUCUCCCCCUUCUACUCCCCCUGCCAGGGCCGCCCCCGCCGCCGCUCGGCCUUCUGGCGCGCCGGCCCCAGCGCCUCCCUAGAGCGCCCUCUCGGUCCCGGGCUGGACGCCGAGGGGGCGCGCUGCAGAUUUGGGGACCCCGAAUCUGGGGUCAGAGGGCAGUUUGACGCUCGUUUCUCCUGCGGGGCCGAAGGAGUGCCAGAAUUUCAGCUAAACCCUGUUUACAAGGACUUCAAGCCGGGACCUGAUCGGCUUGCACUCUGGGGUCCGAAAUUCCCUUUCCAACCCCCUGGGGGUGUGUGGGUGGGUGAUCGAAGUCGAGAACACCAGCGACACUUUUUUUUUUUAAACAAAACUUUAUUGGUAAUAGUUUUCAAAUAUGUUUACAACAGCACACUGUUCAAGAGGAAGUCUCGUCCUUCGCAGCACACAGGUUGA
This 1116-nucleotide long non-coding RNA is filed under the name Papio anubis (olive baboon). Its description in RNAcentral is "lncRNA (ENSPANG00000049736.1)". Lineage: Eukaryota; Metazoa; Chordata; Mammalia; Primates; Cercopithecidae. The record is from RNAcentral.